RNAcentral lists this ribosomal RNA (497 nucleotides) under uncultured bacterium. RNAcentral describes it as "partial 16S ribosomal RNA". It matches the Rfam family "Bacterial small subunit ribosomal RNA", at positions 28 to 507 of the family's 1533-position model. The record is from RNAcentral.
GAUGAACGCUGGCGGCGUGCCUAAUACAUGCAAGUCGAGCGAACGGACGAGAAGCUUGCUUCUCUGAUGUUAGCGGCGGACGGGUGAGUAACACGUGGGUAACCUACCUAUAAGACUGGGAUAACUUCGGGAAACCGGAGCUAAUACCGGAUAAUAUUUUGAACCGCAUGGUUCAAAAGUGAAGGACGGUCUUGCUGUCACUUAUAGAUGGAUCCGCGCUGCAUUAGCUAGUUGGUAAGGUAACGGCUUACCAAGGCAACGAUGCAUAGCCGACCUGAGAGGGUGAUCGGCCACACUGGAACUGAGACACGGUCCAGACUCCUACGGGAGGCAGCAGUAGGGAAUCUUCCGCAAUGGGCGAAAGCCUGACGGAGCAACGCCGCGUGAGUGAUGAAGGUCUUCGGAUCGUAAAACUCUGUUAUUAGGGAAGAACAUAUGUGUAAGUAACUGUGCACAUCUUGACGGUACCUAAUCAGAAAGCCACGGCUAACUACGUG